CUGCAACCAAUUAAGCCGACCAUCCUCUUCCUGUGGGGGCUGGUGUGCAAUGGCUGCAAACAGCAAGCCUCCUAGAUAGUGUAUGCACACUAUUGGUAUGUAUAGGCUACCCUAAGGGACCUUGGAGACAACC
RNAcentral lists this small nucleolar RNA (133 nucleotides) under Echinops telfairi (small Madagascar hedgehog). RNAcentral describes it as "Small nucleolar RNA SNORA70 (ENSETEG00000022691.1)". It matches the Rfam family "Small nucleolar RNA SNORA70". From Rfam's summary of the family: snoRNA U70 seems to be exclusive to mammals and is a member of the H/ACA class of snoRNA which contain H (ANANNA) and ACA box motifs. H/ACA box snoRNAs are involved in the conversion of uridines to pseudouridines (5-ribosyluracil) a constituent of structural RNAs (transfer, ribosomal, small nuclear, and small nucleolar). The record is from RNAcentral. Lineage: Eukaryota; Metazoa; Chordata; Mammalia; Afrosoricida; Tenrecidae.